UUAAGCGACUAAGCGUACACGGUGGAUGCCCUGGCAGUCAGAGGCGAUGAAGGGCGUGCUAAUCUGCGAUAAGCGCCGGUAAGGUGAUAUGAACCGUUAUAACCGGCGAUACCCGAAUGGGGAAACCCAGUGUGAUUCGUCACACUAUCAUUAACUGAAUCCAUAGGUUAAUGAGGCGAACCGGGGGAACUGAAACAUCUAAGUACCCCGAGGAAAAGAAAUCAACCGAGAUUCCCCCAGUAGCGGCGAGCGAACGGGGAGGAGCCCAGAGCCUGAAUCAGCAUGUGUGUUAGUGGAAGCGUCUGGAAAGGCGCGCGAUACAGGGUGACAGCCCCGUACACAAAAGCGCAUGUGCUGUGAGCUCGAUGAGUAGGGCGGGACACGUGGUAUCCUGUCUGAAUAUGGGGGGACCAUCCUCCAAGGCUAAAUACUCCUGACUGACCGAUAGUGAACCAGUACCGUGAGGGAAAGGCGAAAAGAACCCCGGCGAGGGGAGUGAAAAAGAACCUGAAACCGUGUACGUACAAGCAGUGGGAGCACCCUUCGGGGUGUGACUGCGUACCUUUUGUAUAAUGGGUCAGCGACUUAUAUUCUGUAGCAAGGUUAACCGUAUAGGGGAGCCGGAGGGAAACCGAGUCUUAAUUGGGCGUUAAGUUGCAGGGUAUAGACCCGAAACCCGGUGAUCUAGCCAUGGGCAGGUUGAAGGUUGGGUAACACUAACUGGAGGACCGAACCGACUAAUGUUGAAAAAUUAGCGGAUGACCUGUGGCUGGGGGUGAAAGGCCAAUCAAACCGGGAGAUAGCUGGUUCUCCCCGAAAGCUAUUUAGGUAGCGCCUCGUGAAUUCAUCUCCGGGGGUAGAGCACUGUUUCGGCUAGGGGGCCAUCCCGGCUUACCAACCCGAUGCAAACUGCGAAUACCGGAGAAUGUUAUCACGGGAGACACACGGCGGGUGCUAACGUCCGUCGUGAAGAGGGAAACAACCCAGACCGCCAGCUAAGGUCCCAAAGUCAUGGUUAAGUGGGAAACGAUGUGGGAAGGCCCAGACAGCCAGGAUGUUGGCUUAGAAGCAGCCAUCAUUUAAAGAAAGCGUAAUAGCUCACUGGUCGAGUCGGCCUGCGCGGAAGAUGUAACGGGGCUAAACCAUGCACCGAAGCUGCGGCAGCGAACGUAUCACCCAAGACAACUUUACGGAGUUGACGAUUGACGGAGCGAAGCGACGUCAAAGCGUUCAUUAAAGUCGAGUUGGCUUAGGGAUACGUUCGUUGGGUAGGGGAGCGUUCUGUAAGCCUGUGAAGGUGUGUCGUGAGGCAUGCUGGAGGUAUCAGAAGUGCGAAUGCUGACAUAAGUAACGAUAAAGCGGGUGAAAAGCCCGCUCGCCGGAAGACCAAGGGUUCCUGUCCAACGUUAAUCGGGGCAGGGUGAGUCGACCCCUAAGGCGAGGCCGAAAGGCGUAGUCGAUGGGAAACGGGUUAAUAUUCCCGUACUUGGUGUUACUGCGAAGGGGGGACGGAGAAGGCUAUGUUGGCCGGGCGACGGUUGUCCCGGUUUAAGGGUGUAGGUGUGUGUUCCAGGUAAAUCCGGUUCACUUUAACACUGAGGCGUGACGACGAGGCACUACGGUGCUGAAGCAACAAAUGCCCUGCUUCCAGGAAAAGCCUCUAAGCAUCAGGUAACACGAAAUCGUACCCCAAACCGACACAGGUGGUCAGGUAGAGAAUACCAAGGCGCUUGAGAGAACUCGGGUGAAGGAACUAGGCAAAAUGGUGCCGUAACUUCGGGAGAAGGCACGCUGACACGUAGGUGAAGUGAUUUACUCAUGGAGCUGAAGUCAGUCGAAGAUACCAGCUGGCUGCAACUGUUUAUUAAAAACACAGCACUGUGCAAACACGAAAGUGGACGUAUACGGUGUGACGCCUGCCCGGUGCCGGAAGGUUAAUUGAUGGGGUCAGCGUAAGCGAAGCUCCUGAUCGAAGCCCCGGUAAACGGCGGCCGUAACUAUAACGGUCCUAAGGUAGCGAAAUUCCUUGUCGGGUAAGUUCCGACCUGCACGAAUGGCGUAAUGAUGGCCAGGCUGUCUCCACCCGAGACUCAGUGAAAUUGAACUCGCUGUGAAGAUGCAGUGUACCCGCGGCAAGACGGAAAGACCCCGUGAACCUUUACUAUAGCUUGACACUGAACAUUGAGCCUUGAUGUGUAGGAUAGGUGGGAGGCUUUGAAGUGUGGACGCCAGUCUGCAUGGAGCCGACCUUGAAAUACCACCCUUUAAUGUUUGAUGUUCUAACGUGGACCCGUAAUCCGGGUUGCGGACAGUGUCUGGUGGGUAGUUUGACUGGGGCGGUCUCCUCCUAAAGAGUAACGGAGGAGCACGAAGGUUGGCUAAUCCUGGUCGGACAUCAGGAGGUUAGUGCAAUGGCAUAAGCCAGCUUGACUGCGAGCGUGACGGCGCGAGCAGGUGCGAAAGCAGGUCAUAGUGAUCCGGUGGUUCUGAAUGGAAGGGCCAUCGCUCAACGGAUAAAAGGUACUCCGGGGAUAACAGGCUGAUACCGCCCAAGAGUUCAUAUCGACGGCGGUGUUUGGCACCUCGAUGUCGGCUCAUCACAUCCUGGGGCUGAAGUAGGUCCCAAGGGUAUGGCUGUUCGCCAUUUAAAGUGGUACGCGAGCUGGGUUUAGAACGUCGUGAGACAGUUCGGUCCCUAUCUGCCGUGGGCGCUGGAGAACUGAGGGGGGCUGCUCCUAGUACGAGAGGACCGGAGUGGACGCAUCACUGGUGUUCGGGUUGUCAUGCCAAUGGCACUGCCCGGUAGCUAAAUGCGGAAGAGAUAAGUGCUGAAAGCAUCUAAGCACGAAACUUGCCCCGAGAUGAGUUCUCCCUGAGACUUAGAGUCUCCUGAAGGAACGUUGAAGACGACGACGUUGAUAGGCCGGGUGUGUAAGCGCAGCGAUGCGUUGAGCUAACCGGUACUAAUGAACCGUGAGGCUUAACCUU
RNAcentral lists this ribosomal RNA (2988 nucleotides) under Salmonella enterica subsp. enterica serovar Typhimurium. RNAcentral describes it as "23S ribosomal RNA". It matches the Rfam family "Bacterial large subunit ribosomal RNA". Lineage: Bacteria; Pseudomonadati; Pseudomonadota; Gammaproteobacteria; Enterobacterales; Enterobacteriaceae. The record is from RNAcentral.